GAUCUUUUAGUAUAGUUGUGUACGCCUGACUUCCAAUCAGGUAGUUUUAAGGUUA
Molecule: transfer RNA, 55 nt
Filed under: Baylisascaris schroederi (giant panda roundworm)
Lineage: Eukaryota; Metazoa; Nematoda; Chromadorea; Rhabditida; Ascarididae
Description: tRNA-Gly
Source: RNAcentral